UGUAGGUAUCUGCCCUAUGGCCUGGAAUAACACGAGGAAACUUGUGCUAAUACCGGAUAAGUCUUUACGGAGAAAGCUUUAUGCACCAUUGGAUGAGCCUGCACUUGAUUAGUUUGUUGGUGGGGUAAUGGCCUACCAAGACUGUGAUCAAUAGCUGAUUUGAGAGGAUGAUCAGCCACAUUGGGACUGAGACACGGCCCAAACUCCUACGGGAGGCAGCAGUGGGGAAUCUUGCACAAUGGAGGAAACUCUGAUGCAGCGAUGCCGCGUGAGUGAAGAAGGCCUUUGGGUUGUAAAGCUCUUUCGUCGGGGAAGAAAAUGACUGUACCCGAAUAAGAAGGUCCGGCU
This 348-nucleotide ribosomal RNA is filed under the name uncultured Pseudomonadota bacterium. Its description in RNAcentral is "bacterial SSU rRNA". It matches the Rfam family "Bacterial small subunit ribosomal RNA", at positions 116 to 498 of the family's 1533-position model. Lineage: Bacteria; Pseudomonadati; Pseudomonadota. The record is from RNAcentral.